Molecule: ribosomal RNA, 508 nt
Filed under: uncultured Glomus
Lineage: Eukaryota; Fungi; Glomeromycota; Glomeromycetes; Glomerales; Glomeraceae
Description: SSU rRNA
Rfam family: Eukaryotic small subunit ribosomal RNA
Source: RNAcentral
AGCAGCCGCGGUAAUUCCAGCUCCAAUAGCGUAUAUUAAAGUUGUUGCAGUUAAAAAGCUCGUAAUUGAAUUUCGGGGUUAGUAGGUUGGUCAUGCCUCUGGUAUGUACUGGUCUCACUGAUUCCUCCUUCCUGAUGAGCCGUAAUGCCAUUAAUUUGGUGUUGCGGGGAAUUUGGACUGUUACUUUGAAAAAAUUAGAGUGUUUAAAGCAAGCUAACGCUUGAAUACAUUAGCAUGGAAUAAUGAAAUAGGACGUUCGAUCCUAUUUUGUUGGUUUCUAGGAUUGACGUAAUGAUUAAUAGGGAUAGUUGGGGGCAUUAGUAUUCAAUUGUCAGAGGUGAAAUUCUUGGAUUUAUUGAAGACUAACUACUGCGAAAGCAUUUGCCAAGGAUGUUUUCAUUAAUCAAGAACGAAAGUUAGGGGAUCGAAGACGAUCAGAUACCGUCGUAGUCUUAACCAUAAACUAUGCCGACUAGGGAUCGGAUGAUGUUAAUUUUUUAAUGACUCA